AGACUUGCCUCAAAGGACAGAGUUCUCUGGAAGAAGAAUCAUGAUAAAGUAGAGGGGUUUUGAGGACACACAGGCAAAAGUAUGGGUACAGUUGCCUUAGGUCUUGGCAGAUGAUGCCCUCGGGCCCCCAUUUUUCCUGUCCUUAGAGACUCCCUGCCCCAGUGGGGACUCAUUGACAACAAUUUCAAGGGGCUGGCCGGAAGCAUGGGUCUUCCUCAUCUGACUGUCAGCUUAUUUCAGCCUACCAUGAAGGGUUCUGGAAGAGUGGGUGAACUGGACUUUGACGAGCCUGUAGAAUGCCAUGCAGGAUGGAGCAGUGACAAAGACAGCAGAAAACACGCGCAGGGACAGCCAAGAUGCAGCAGGUGUGACCGGGGAGGUGGGUGUGGGGAAUGGCUGCAUUCCAGAUGAACAACAGAAAACAAAGCCAUGACUUUGGCGGGGUCUCACAGUGGAGGAUUCAGAGGACAGUCUGAUUGCAACACAUGUUGGUGUUUCUUGGUUACCUGGAGGCCAAUAAAAGAACAGAAAUUCUGGGCCGGGUGCGGAGGCUCACGUCUGUAAUCCCAGGACUAUGGGAGGCUGAGGCAGGCGGAUACUACUCACUGGGCACCCGACUGGCCCCAUCAUGAAGCUUCUGACAGCAGGAAAACACCAGUCAGCCCUGUAACGAUCAGCCACAAAGUCAUCCACCAGGGCGAUUCAGGUCAUCCACCCCACCUCAAUUGUGUUUGUUAGGGACAAAUAUUUAGAAGUUUCAUGUUUGUGGGAUUAUCUCAAUGUCUUUGCAGUCUGGAGGGUGUCUUUACAGAGCUGAAUGAGUCAAGUGCCUAUUCUGAUGCCAUAGAAUCAUAUAAUUAAAAAGGUCCUUAAAAGAUGACGUCACUCCAGCUCAAUGGGUUGGGGGAUCUCCUCUGGGAGAAAUGUUUUGGAUCUAGACAGAGGGGCAUUACACAACAUUGUCAAUGUAGUAAAUGCCACUAAAUUUGCACCUGAAAAUGGUUAAUUUUUUGUUGUGUGAAUUUCAUCUCAAUUUUUAAAAAAGAUUAUAUCGUUCAGUCUUUUAUUUUGAAGAUGUGGGAACAAGUAGUGGGAGGAUGGUAUCCAAAGCCCACUCAGGGUGCAGGCAGGUCCCUAACACACCGAUCACCCUGCCCAGACUUCAACCUAAUCAUUCCCGCUUCGCUACAUGGCCUGUGCUGUCGUAAGGCAGUGAGCUCAGGGCUGAAUGUACCCAGCAGAGAAAAUUCAUAUCCUCAAAAACUCUCUCCCCAGAAGUUUUGUGAUUUUGUUUGUUCAUGUAUUUUUUCCCACAAUAAGGAAAUAAAAAUGUAUCUAGACUUACA
This 1346-nucleotide long non-coding RNA is filed under the name Homo sapiens (human). RNAcentral's name for it is "HSALNT0269562". The record is from RNAcentral. Lineage: Eukaryota; Metazoa; Chordata; Mammalia; Primates; Hominidae.